Molecule: ribosomal RNA, 460 nt
Filed under: uncultured bacterium
Lineage: Bacteria
Description: partial 16S ribosomal RNA
Rfam family: Bacterial small subunit ribosomal RNA
Source: RNAcentral
CCUACGGGGGGCAGCAGUGAGGAAUCUUGGUCAAUGGGCGCGAGCCUGAACCAGCCAAGUAGCGUGAAGGAUGACUGCCCUACGGGUUGUAAACUCCUUUUAUAAAGGAAUAAAGUGAGGCACGUGUGCCUUUUUGUAUGUACUUUAUGAAUAAGGAUCGCCCAACCCCGUACCAGCAGCCGCGGUAAUACGGAGGAUCAGAGCGUUAUCCGGAUUUAUUGGGUUUAAAGGGGACGAAGAUGGGUUGUUAAGUCAGUUGUGAACGUGUGCGGCUCAACCGUAAAAUUGCAAUUGAUACUGGCAGUCUUGAGUACGGUUGAGGUAGGCGGAAUUCGUGGUGUAGCGGUGAAAUGCGUAGAUAUCACGAAGAACUCCGAUAGCGAAGGCAGCUUACUAAACUGCCACUGACAUUGAUGCUCGAAAGUGUAGGUAGCAAACAGGAUUAGAUACCCGGGUAGUC